RNAcentral lists this ribosomal RNA (324 nucleotides) under uncultured Ruhlandiella. RNAcentral describes it as "eukaryotic LSU rRNA". The stretch from base 1 to 102 matches the Rfam family "5.8S ribosomal RNA", at positions 53 to 154 of the family's 154-position model. The record is from RNAcentral. Lineage: Eukaryota; Fungi; Ascomycota; Pezizomycetes; Pezizales; Pezizaceae.
AUGCGAUAAGUAAUGUGAAUUGCAGAAUCUCGUGAAUCAUUGAAUCUUUGAACGCACAUUGCGCCCUAUGGUAUUCCGUAGGGCAUGCCUGUCUGAGCGUCAGCUCCCCCCAACUCAAGCCUUUUUUAUUAAAGCUUGGAUUUCUUUAAAGAAGUGGUUGAACAAUAAUCAGCUACUCUUUAAAAAUUUAUAGGCAGUAUGGCACCUGAAACAGGCGUAAUAAGGAUAUAAAAGCGUCUCUCUUUAGGAAAGUUGUACUUGCCUCAACUCACCCAUUUUCUUCUGGGUGACCUCAGAUCAGGUAGGGAUACCCGCUGAACUUAA